GCUCUCCGCACACCUGGGGGAGGCCCCGCCCCCGGGAGCACAGGUGCGCGCGGGCGGGCGUCGCUGCGGCUUCGGAGCGCACCGUUCCCGGGGCUCUGCCCGGAUCCCCUAGCGCCCCGGAGCCACGCAGGCUUCUGUCUCCCCGCUGCUUUCCUUUGACGAUCGGGCUGCGGGGCUUGGCGAGGGGUGACCCCUGCCCUGGAGAGGACACUGGGUGCCCCAGGAUUUUCAGUAUCAACAUGACCUUCUUUUCCUCUCAAAACUUCUCCAAAACACGGAAGAAAAGAAACAGAAACUUCACAUAAAGUCAGUAAGAGGAUGGAGAAGGGAUAAAUGACUUAACAGAAGAAAGGUCAAAACUAAGGACAUCCAAAGGAAAAUGAAAUAAAAGCUAAAUCAUCCUCAAGCACUUGACAAGAAUCAGGAAACAUAAGUACAGAUAGAAGACAGAGGUGAGCAGAGACAGCAAGUAAACC
RNAcentral lists this long non-coding RNA (476 nucleotides) under Chinchilla lanigera (long-tailed chinchilla). Its description in RNAcentral is "lncRNA (ENSCLAG00000024054.1)". Lineage: Eukaryota; Metazoa; Chordata; Mammalia; Rodentia; Chinchillidae. The record is from RNAcentral.